UAAUACAGUAUAGUCAUACCCAAGCUAUGGAAAAAUAUUUCCAAGUUUGUUACUUUUCUCAAGAAACUUCCUACUGUUAUAAAAUUUGUGCGCAAUAGUAGAGAUAAAAAUUAAUUUAGAACAGUAAUUGGAGUUAUUCAGAGGGACAAAUCGUCUAUUUAUUUGGUCUUUUAAAUGGGUUGCUCCCCAAAGAAAAGAAAAGAAAAGAAAGUAAUGCAAUUGCAAGUGAUGCAAUUCUUUAUUUUUAUGCUGCCAAUUGGUUUCGGGACAGCGGUGGGUAAUUCAGUGGGGAAAGUAAAGAGAUGGGUCCUGGAGAAGAAGAGCCUCACUGGUCUGUGUUUGAUGGGGUGAAGACAAUUCCAGCAUCAGCUGAUGCACUAAUUGCUGAGAUCGAUUCUGCCAUUUCUGCACUGGAGUAUGCCCGAGCUGCUGCUUUCUUAUCUUCUAUUGUUGGUAAAAGUGACGACGGAAAAUUAAGUUCUAAAUACGAUGCUAAAAAGGCAGAUGAAGCUUAUAGAGCAGGGAUGGCAGCCAUGGCUGCUAGCCAUUCAGUUCCUAAAUAUUGCUCUUGCUAAGUGCCCGCCUGAUAAGACUUCUGCUGUUGCUAAGCUUCAGUCUCUUAUUUCUGUCACAUCUCAACAGCUUCGAAACUCCUCCAACUGAUUCUUCUAUGUAAAAUAGCUCUGGGUGCUGAUGAAAGAGACAAAUAUCUGAAGGUUUUGAACAUCUCAAAACACUGGUGGUAGCAUCAUCAGCUGUGACAUGGGUGUUGAGCUUCCAAUGCCUUGGUCAAUGAAUAUAUGCAUCUUCAAGCUCUGGCCCACUUUUGUUGUUGGCGCUGCUGAAUAUUAUGUUUCUGUUCAUUAUAGCUCGCUUUGAGAUGAUUUCUUGAAGGCAUAUGUGAGAUAGAAGAUCAUACUUCAAUAGUUGCAUGGCAGAGGGAAACUAGUUUUGGUAGGAUCUGAAAAUUGUAAAAUGUCGUUCUUGAAACUAGUUGCUGCUACACCACUUCUGCUGUAAGUUGAUGUUCUAUCUGGUCUUUAAAGUUGUGUACAAAAACUUGAGUUGGAUGAUGUACAAGUAUGAAUGUAACGCUCGAUGCCCAUGGAUAAGACACGAUUGUUUAUCUGGUGGUUUUAGUUCUC
Coffea arabica (coffee) is the source of this 1145-nucleotide non-coding RNA. The record is from RefSeq and is a predicted model, not a curated record. Lineage: Eukaryota; Viridiplantae; Streptophyta; Magnoliopsida; Gentianales; Rubiaceae.